Molecule: small RNA, 1960 nt
Filed under: Pan troglodytes (chimpanzee)
Lineage: Eukaryota; Metazoa; Chordata; Mammalia; Primates; Hominidae
Description: retained intron
Source: RNAcentral
GAGGCUGAGAAAAUGUUAGAAAUUGGGGGAGACAAGUUUCCCUUAGAGAGCAGGAAGUUACUAAGUAGUCCUGGAAAGAACAUCAGUUGCAGAUGUGACCCCUCUGAGAUUAAUAUAUCUGAUGAAAUGCCUAAAACUACAGUUUGGAAAGCUCUCAGUAUGAAUUCUGGAAAUGCAAAGGAAAAGAGUCUCUUCAACUAAGAGUCUUUGCUGGGAUGGAAGAUUUGGGCCGUGUGGUGCCUCAGGGAAGUUCUGGUUACAGAGAAAAUGGCGAGUCUCUCAGAGAAGAAGCAAGACCAAGUCUGGCCCUGUCCUUGGUCAUCUCAAAGCCAUGCCGAAGCAUUCAGUUAUUCUUGGUGUGCAUUGGAGGGCAUCCAGCUAUCCCCAUACCAGCAGCCAGUCACCAGAUGUGAAUGUGGAAGCAGAAGACCACCUCCUGUUGGUUCUUCUCCUCUUUCUUCUUUUUCUCUUUAGAACGGCCACCAUUGAAGACCUAGCUUCCCAUUUUCCAGACGUUUUCUCUGAAAUUCUCUGCUGGCCUGCCAAGCCAUAUGGAUUCAUUCUGCCACUGAGGAGUCCUUCAGUGAGGUCCCUCUUCCUAAAGGACAGAGUGGGGAGUAGGAGGGGAACAGAGAGGACAUCCUGUCUGGCUCUCCAGUGCUCUUAGUGUCUACAGGCUCCUAGGCAGCCCUGGGCCUUGGUUUGAUUACCUCCCCUGGGGGAUGCUGGUCAGACCCAGAGGUUGUCAGGAGGUCAGCUACCAGGAAGAUCCAUGAUCUGGGCAUUGGCAGUGCCUGCCACCACAGCCAGGAAGAUGCCUCUGACCUGGGUGCAUCUCCAUCACUCCUUAGCAGCAGCCUGCAUAACUGGCAAGAAUCUUGGAUGAUACAAGAGCCAAGAAGGGACAUUUGAGUUGUGUCGCUUAGACAGGAAAGGGAUCCAGGGAAAAUCAACAGUAAGUGAGGAUGAGCAGCGUCUCUUGGUUUUCAUUGAGGACAGAGUAAGAGAUUGAGUUUAGAUUGCAACAGAAGGAAUUAGUUUAGAUACCAGGAAGGACUUCCUAGCCUGAAGAUUUGUCAUAGUGUCUGCUUUCUAGAUAUCUGGGAAAGAUUUGAUAAUAGUUGUUUGUGAAUAGAAAGGAGGAUAUGAUGUUUUUAUUGGCCAUUUUGCGGGACUCUUCGACUUCUUGCUGCUGUCUCUUGAGGAUACAUUCCAAUUCCAUCCUGGCGAGAUCCAAGUGCUUACGUACUGUCUCCUUAGCUGCCUUAGAGUAAACGAUCAUCAGUUCAAUGGACCAAAAUCACCUUCAGCCAUGUGGUUUCUUCAUCAUCAUGGAUUUCUUUUGGUUGACAAACAUUCUGGCUCUCAGAUGCAAAAAAGUCACACUGGGAAAUGAACUGUAAGUGGUGAAAUUAGUUUUGGUAUUUAAUUUAAAACUACAUUUAUAGUUUUUCUCUUCUCUUCUAUGUUGCAAUGAAUGUAAAGUAUUUGGGAUCCAGUGCUUAUAAACCUUUCCUUCCUUUGUGCACAGAAUGUAACUAGCAAGCCCAUUAGCACCCAGAUAAUUCUAUCAUGUUAGUUUCCCAUCCUGGAAAAUCUUUGUACAGUGGGAAGUUCCCUGAUGUGUUUUUCUUUCUUAGGUGAAGGGUUGGCUAUAUCACUUUAUUGAAUUUUGCAUUCCUUAGACUUUUAAAAUAUACUAAUGUAUUCUAGUCUUACUCUAAAGACCUUUGAUGUUAAAGGAAUCCUUCAUUUAUUUCAUAUUCCCUAUCUCAUAGGGCCACAAUUAUUUUAAUACAGAGAUGAUUUUCAAAAUAUUUUAACAACUGAUACAGGACAGAUGCCAGCCACUCAGAAGGGAUGCCUGCUGUAAACAAGCAGUAUGUAUGGUUGUACCAAUGCCUAUUGGCUGAACAUUAUGCUACUUUCAGAUAUUAAAAUGGUGUUCCUUUGAAUCGUG